Molecule: long non-coding RNA, 555 nt
Filed under: Nicotiana benthamiana
Lineage: Eukaryota; Viridiplantae; Streptophyta; Magnoliopsida; Solanales; Solanaceae
Description: long non-coding RNA (NBEN_LNC020939)
Source: RNAcentral
AAGUUUUUAUUUCCAGAAAGAUCCCCACGCUGAGGGAUGAACCUCGCCAAAUGAUCUUAUGGAUCACCCAUCCCAUCUUUUAGGUUCCAUUUGGGCAAUAUGUAUCCCGCUGGGUAUGGCUCGUAGUAAACCUCUGUAAGAUAAGGAGGAUCAUAGGGUAGGUAACCUUUUCACCAUUCUAAAAGAAUGGUACCUUCCAGUAAGCAGGUCUCUUCAGGCACUCCCAAAAGAAAAGAGAGAAUUCAAUUCAUUUUAGCCUCUGAGCGAGGAUACUCCAACAAGAAGAGCCUAACCAGGCCCUAGAGAUAACAGCCCAUACCCCUACAGAGCCAAAAUGAAAGGCCUUCAUCAUAGGCUAGCAUAGCAGACAAUAACGCGAAAUCCAGGAAGGGGAGGGGGAAUGAAUGCAAAAUCUGAAGCAAACCGAAAAGCGAGUUCCCGUGGAGUGAGUCUAGUGCUUCCCUUUAACCUAGAAGCACUCAGUGAGCCUUCAACAAUGUCCUUCCUGGCCUGUUGUUUGAGUUGACCGAAGGCGGCGGGUGGAGAGAACCAAAG